Molecule: ribosomal RNA, 700 nt
Filed under: uncultured rumen bacterium
Lineage: Bacteria
Description: bacterial SSU rRNA
Rfam family: Bacterial small subunit ribosomal RNA
Source: RNAcentral
AACACAGCGAAAGUUGUACUAAUACCGCAUGAGACCACAGUAUCGCAUGGUAGAGGGGUCAAAGGAGCAAUCCGGUGAAGGGUGAGUUCGCGUCCGAUUAGAUAGUUGGUGGGGUAACGGCCUACCAAGUCGACGAUCGGUAGCCGACCUGAGAGGGUGAUCGGCCACAUUGGGACUGAGACACGGCCCAAACUCCUACGGGAGGCAGCAGUGGGGAAUAUUGGGCAAUGGGGGAAACCCUGACCCAGCAACGCCGCGUGAGGGAAGAAGGUUUUCGGAUCGUAAACCUCUGUCCUAGGUGAAGAGAAAGAGACGGUAGCCUAGGAGGAAGCCCCGGCUAACUACGUGCCAGCAGCCGCGGUAAUACGUAGGGGGCGAGCGUUGUCCGGAAUGAUUGGGCGUAAAGGGCGCGUAGGCGGCCCGGUAAGUCUGGAGUGAAAGUCCUGCUUUUAAGGUGGGAAUUGCUUUGGAUACUGUCGGGCUUGAGUGCAGGAGAGGUAAGUGGAAUUCCCAGUGUAGCGGUGAAAUGCGUAGAGAUUGGGAGGAACACCAGUGGCGAAGGCGACUUACUGGACUGUAACUGACGCUGAGGCGCGAAAGUGUGGGGAGCAAACAGGAUUAGAUACCCUGGUAGUCCACACUGUAAACGAUGAAUGCUAGGUGUAGGGGGUAUCGACCCCUUCUGUGCCGCAGUAAACAC